CCUACGGGAGGCAGCAGUGGGGAAUUUUGGACAAUGGGCGCAAGCCUGAUCCAGCAAUGCCGCGUGAGUGAAGAAGGCCUUCGGGUUGUAAAGCUCUUUUGUCAGGGAAGAAACGGUGAGAGCUAAUAUCUCUUGCUAAUGACGGUACCUGAAGAAUAAGCACCGGCUAACUACGUGCCAGCAGCCGCGGUAAUACGUAGGGUGCAAGCGUUAAUCGGAAUUACUGGGCGUAAAGCGUGCGCAGGCGGUUUUGUAAGUCUGUCGUGAAAUCCCCGGGCUCAACCUGGGAAUUGCGAUGGAGACUGCAAGGCUAGAAUCUGGCAGAGGGGGGUAGAAUUCCACGUGUAGCAGUGAAAUGCGUAGAGAUGUGGAGGAACACCGAUGGCGAAGGCAGCCCCCUGGGUCAAGAUUGACGCUCAUGCACGAAAGCGUGGGGAGCAAACAGGAUUAGAUACCCUGGUAGUCCACGCCCUAAACGAUGUCUACUAGUUGUCGGGUUUUAAUAACUUGGUAACGCAGCUAACGCGUGAAGUAGACCGCCUGGGGAGUACGGUCGCAAGAUUAAAACUCAAAUGAAUUGAGG
This 583-nucleotide ribosomal RNA is filed under the name uncultured bacterium. RNAcentral describes it as "bacterial SSU rRNA". It matches the Rfam family "Bacterial small subunit ribosomal RNA", at positions 338 to 915 of the family's 1533-position model. The record is from RNAcentral.